CAAUAGCGUAUAUUAAAGUUGUUGCGGUUAAAAAGCUCGUAGUUGGAUUUCUGCUGAGGACGAUCGGUCCGCCCACUGGGUGAGUAUCUGGCUCGGCCUUGGCAUCUUCUUGGAGAACGUUGCUGCACUUGACUGUGUGGUGCGGUAUCCAGGACUUUUACUUUGAGGAAAUUAGAGUGUUUCAAGCAGGCGCACGCCUUGAAUACAUUAGCGUGGAAUAAUAAGAUAGGACCUUGGUUCUAUUUUGUUGGUUUCUAGAGCUGAGGUAAUGAUUAAUAGGGAUAGUUGGGGGCAUUCGUAUUUAACUGUCAGAGGUGAAAUUCUCGGAUUUGUUAAAGACGGACUACUGCGAAAGCAUUUGCCAAGGAUGUUUUCAUUGA
RNAcentral lists this ribosomal RNA (380 nucleotides) under uncultured eukaryote. Its description in RNAcentral is "partial 18S ribosomal RNA". It matches the Rfam family "Eukaryotic small subunit ribosomal RNA", at positions 592 to 976 of the family's 1831-position model. The record is from RNAcentral.